UACGUAGGGGGCAAGCGUUGUUCGGAUUUAUUGGGCGUAAAGAGCGCGUAGGCGGCCAGGCAGGUCUGCUGUGAAAACUCGAGGCUCAACCUCGAGAUGUCGGCGGAAACCAUCUGGCUAGAGUCCGGAAGAGGAGAAUGGAAUUCCCGGUGUAGCGGUGAAAUGCGCAGAUAUCGGGAAGAACACCCGUGGCGAAGGCGGUUCUCUGGAACGGUACUGACGCUGAGACGCGAAAGCGUGGGGAGCGAACAGG
Molecule: ribosomal RNA, 253 nt
Filed under: uncultured bacterium
Lineage: Bacteria
Description: partial 16S ribosomal RNA
Rfam family: Bacterial small subunit ribosomal RNA
Source: RNAcentral